GCCUAUACAGGUGUUGCAUGGCUGUCGUCAGCUCGUGUCGUGAGAUGUUCGGUUAAGUCCGCUAACGAGCGCAACCUCGCUGUGUGUUACAAGUGUCACACGGAACUGCCGGUCAUAAACCAGAGGAAGGUGGGGAUGACGUCAAGUCAGCAUGGCCUUUAUAUCCUGGGCUACACACACGCUACAAUGGGAAGGGACAAUAGGUUGCGAAGCCGCGAGGCGGAGCCAAUCCAGCAAAACUUCCCUCAGUUCAGAUUGCAGGCUGCAACUCGCCUGCAUGAAGUUGGAGUUGCUAGUAAACGCAGGUCAGCCAUACUGCGUUGAAUACGUUCCCGGGGCUU
Molecule: ribosomal RNA, 341 nt
Filed under: uncultured Anaerolineaceae bacterium
Lineage: Bacteria; Bacillati; Chloroflexota; Anaerolineae; Anaerolineales; Anaerolineaceae
Description: bacterial SSU rRNA
Rfam family: Bacterial small subunit ribosomal RNA
Source: RNAcentral